RNAcentral lists this ribosomal RNA (465 nucleotides) under Vreelandella stevensii. Its description in RNAcentral is "partial 16S ribosomal RNA". It matches the Rfam family "Bacterial small subunit ribosomal RNA", at positions 338 to 795 of the family's 1533-position model. The record is from RNAcentral. Lineage: Bacteria; Pseudomonadati; Pseudomonadota; Gammaproteobacteria; Oceanospirillales; Halomonadaceae.
CCUACGGGAGGCUGCAGUGGGGAAUAUUGGACAAUGGGCGAAAGCCUGAUCCAGCCAUGCCGCGUGUGUGAAGAAGGCCUUCGGGUUGUAAAGCACUUUCAGUGGGGAAGAAAGCCUUGGGGCUAAUACCCUCGAGGAAGGACAUCACCCACAGAAGAAGCACCGGCUAACUCCGUGCCAGCAGCCGCGGUAAUACGGAGGGUGCGAGCGUUAAUCGGAAUUACUGGGCGUAAAGCGCGCGUAGGCGGUCUGAUAAGCCGGUUGUGAAAGCCCCGGGCUCAACCUGGGAACGGCAUCCGGAACUGUCAGGCUAGAGUGCAGGAGAGGAAGGUAGAAUUCCCGGUGUAGCGGUGAAAUGCGUAGAGAUCGGGAGGAAUACCAGUGGCGAAGGCGGCCUUCUGGACUGACACUGACGCUGAGGUGCGAAAGCGUGGGUAGCAAACAGGACUAGAUACCCUGGUAGUC